Molecule: long non-coding RNA, 458 nt
Filed under: Homo sapiens (human)
Lineage: Eukaryota; Metazoa; Chordata; Mammalia; Primates; Hominidae
Description: non-protein coding lnc-ING3-2:1
Source: RNAcentral
UUGACUUUGUAUUUGGCCUUCUCUAAAAAAAAAAAAAAAAAAAAAAAAAAAAGAGGUGUUUUUAUUUUUAUGGCAGUGUAAGCUCAGAAAUAUUUGAAGAUUUGGGGUCUCUGAGUUGUCCAAAACCUCUCACAGGACCACAUUUCUGUUCUUCAUGUCCUAAACUUUCAUGGAAAAAAAAAGCAUUGUGUUCACACAAGAGAUAUGGUAGGGCUGUGAAUUUUUCUGAUGCUACAAUCCUACAACCGAUAGGAUCUAGUUUGAAGUUUACUGGUUGCAACACAUUAUUAUUUUUUUUUGUCACAGUCAGACAAAAAUUUGGGGAAUGCAUUGAGAAAAUAGUUUAGUUUUCCACCGUUAUUUUUUAACUUAUCCAGCACAAUGUUAAAAGCAAACACCUGAUCUUUAAUUCUUCACAGCCUUCACACUUGAGGACAACAUAACUGAUACCUAAAUCA